RNAcentral lists this ribosomal RNA (253 nucleotides) under uncultured bacterium. RNAcentral describes it as "partial 16S ribosomal RNA". It matches the Rfam family "Bacterial small subunit ribosomal RNA", at positions 524 to 776 of the family's 1533-position model. The record is from RNAcentral.
UACGGAGGGAGCUAGCGUUGUUCGGAAUGACUGGGCGUAAAGCGCACGUAGGCGGCUUUGUAAGUUAGAGGUGAAAGCCCGGGGCUCAACUCCGGAACUGCCUUUAAGACUGCAUCGCUUGAAUCCAGGAGAGGUGAGUGGAAUUCCGAGUGUAGAGGUGAAAUUCGUAGAUAUUCGGAAGAACACCAGUGGCGAAGGCGGCUCACUGGACUGGUAUUGACGCUGAGACGCGAAAGCGUGGGGAGCGAACAGG